CGCGCGCCGGGACGGGGACUACACACCAGCAGGCGCGGGAUAGCCGUACUGGGGGAAAGGUCUUGAGAUACGGCAGGGGGCGGCGAAGCUAGCACCCCCAAGACCACAUGGCUGGCGGGC
The submitters of this non-coding RNA (120 nucleotides) gave its source as unclassified sequences. The record is from Rfam.